CGGGCGCGACGCCGGUCUAAGUCCCUUGGAACGGGGCGUCAUAGAGGGUGAGAAUCCCGUAUGUGACCGGUGACCAAGCCUAUAUGAAACUCCUUCGACGAGUCGAGUUGUUUGGGAAUGCAGCUCAAAAUGGGUGGUAAAUUUCAUCUAAAGCUAAAUACCGGCCAGAGACCGAUAGCGCACAAGUAGAGUGAUCGAAAGAUGAAAAGCACUUUGGAAAGAGAGUCAAAAAGUACGUGAAAUUGUUGAAAGGGAAGCGCUUGCAACCAGACCUGUCCGCGGGUGAUCAGCCGUCCUUUUGGGCGGUGCACGCACCCGUGAUCAGGCCAGCAUCGGUUCAGGCGGCCGGAUAAAGGCCUUGGGAAUGUAGCUUCUUUCGGGGAGUGUUAUAGCCCUCGGUGCAAUGCGGCCAGCCCGGACCGAGGACCGCGCUUCGGCAAGGAUGCUGGCGUAAUGGUUGUAAGCGGCCCGUCUUGAAACACGGACCAAGGAGUCUAACAUCUAUGCGAGUGUUUGGGUGUCAAACCCAUGCGCGUAAUGAAAGUGAACGGAGGUGGGAACCCUUAAGGGCGCACCAUCGACCGAUCCAGAUGUCUUCGGAUGGAUUUGAGUACGAGCAUAGCUGUUGGGACCCGAAAGAUGGUGAACUAUGCCUGAAUAGGGUGAAGCCAGAGGAAACUCUGGUGGAGGCUCGCAGCGGUUCUGACGUGCAAAUCGAUCGUCAAAUUUAGGCAUAGGGGCGAAAG
This 746-nucleotide ribosomal RNA is filed under the name Wetmoreana sp. 54 UA-2013. RNAcentral's name for it is "LSU rRNA". It matches the Rfam family "Eukaryotic large subunit ribosomal RNA", at positions 165 to 929 of the family's 3401-position model. The record is from RNAcentral. Lineage: Eukaryota; Fungi; Ascomycota; Lecanoromycetes; Teloschistales; Teloschistaceae.